UUUAAGAGCUGUAGUGCUGAUCAGAGUGUGUUCAGUGCUUUCAGAGCCACUGACACGCAGCACAAUGAUGAUGGUACUGAUUCUACUGCUGGGGACACUGGGACUCCUCGCUCACCAGUCCUUUGGGGAAACCGUCCUGACUCAAUCUCCAGGAUCUCAGUCUGUUUCUCCAGGACAAUCUGUUACUCUCACCUGUACAUCCAGUCAGGGUGUUAGCUAUUACCUCGCCUGGUACCUGCAGAAACCUGGAGAAGCUCCUAAACUCCUGAUCUAUUAUGCAUCUAACCGUCAGUCUGGGAUUCCAGAUCGUUUCAGUGGCAGUUAUUCUGGUUCACAAUUUAGUCUAAAAAUCUCUGGAGUUCAGUCUGAAGAUGCAGGAGAUUAUUACUGUCAGCUGGAAUAUGUCCCGUACGCACAGUGUUAUAGCGCCGUACAAAAACCUCCCUCAGCUGUAGAGGAAGUGCUCUGACUCAGAAACACACACUGAUCUGAGAACAGCUGCAGAGCUGCUAAAGCUGCACUCUACUGAACAUCAUCAAACGUGUUGAUGUUUAAAACAUAAUCAUUCCUGAAAAGCAGAAAACUCUUCAUCAGCUGUUCCUUCUGUGAUGAAAAAUCAGCUGAUGUGUGUAAUGGUAUAUGAUGAUUUCCACCUUCUGCUAAGAGGAGCAGUGUCUAUAAUAAUA
Molecule: non-coding RNA, 686 nt
Organism: Ictalurus punctatus (channel catfish)
Lineage: Eukaryota; Metazoa; Chordata; Actinopteri; Siluriformes; Ictaluridae
Source: the annotation of a RefSeq genome assembly